CAGUCGCCACGGUAAUACGAAGGGGGCUAGCGUUGCUCGGAAUUACUGGGCGUAAAGGGAGCGUAGGCGGACAUUUAAGACAGGGGUGAAAUCCCGGGGCUCAACCUCGGAAUUGCCUUUGAUACUGGGUGUCUUGAGUAUGAGAGAGGUAUGUGGAACUCCGAGUGUAGAGGUGAAAUUCGUAGAUAUUCGGAAGAACACCAGUGGCGAAGGCGACAUACUGGCUCAUUACUGACGCUGAGGCUCGAAAGCGUGGGGAGCAAACAGGAUUAGAUACCCGCGUAGUCCCUGUCUCUUAUAC
RNAcentral lists this ribosomal RNA (301 nucleotides) under uncultured bacterium. Its description in RNAcentral is "partial 16S ribosomal RNA". It matches the Rfam family "Bacterial small subunit ribosomal RNA", at positions 509 to 807 of the family's 1533-position model. The record is from RNAcentral.